CGUUUUUCGUAUUAUAUAUGUACGCAUGCUUGAAAUCACAUGCACGCACAAAAUCGAAACUAUAGUUGAGUUUUCCAGAACUAAGCCUAGGACGACUGUGGUGUGACGUAGUGGCGCCAGCAAGGCUCGAGAGAGAAAGAGGCAAACGGCCAUAUCAGAGUACAUCUUUGCAUAGUCUAGCCACGUUUGGUUAUUGAUAGCGGGCUGAAUACGACUAACGCACCUAUGGAGUCCUUGAAUUACCGAGCUUUUUAGACGACUUUUCCUGCUACUAUUGUAUCUGGUGACUUUCCUACUACUAUUGUAUCUGGUGACUUUCCUGCUACUAUUGUAUCUGGUGGCUUUCCUGCUACUAUUGUAGUCUUUGGUGGCUUGAUAUAGUUCUGUACCCUUGAAUCUUCACACAGUCCUGAUGAGUGUUAAAAGCGAGCACAACAAGACCAAUGUCAUUAUUCAGAAUAGUUUCAGAGCACCUAUGGCCAGCCUAGAAUGUCUGGACGAAAGCACUAUGUCCAGCGAGAGUCCAAUGACCACUCGUCCCCCGAGUCGACAGACUUCUGUCCACUGGGCCACAGGGAUGCGUUAUAGAAACCUUGGAAAGUCUGGCCUGAAAAUUUCCUGCAUUGGCUUAGGUACGUGGGUGAAUUUUGGAACACAGCUUUCUGAAGAGACUGCAGAGGAGAUUUUGACAGCGGCUUACGAAAGUGGAAUCAAUGUUUUUGAUACAGCUGAUCUGUAUGGUGGUGGAAAGGCAGAAAUUAUGCUUGGGAAAAUUCUAAAGAAAAAAGGUUGGAGGCGGUCCACUUACAUCAUCGCAACAAAACUAAUUUGGACUGGAAAAUCAGACAUUGAGAGAGGGCUGUCCAGGAAACAAAUAAUUGAAGGGGUUCAUGCUUCACUAGAAAGGCUACAGUUAAAUUAUGUGGACAUUCUUCUGGUGAACAAGGCUGACUCCAUGUGUCCCAUGGAAGAGAUUGUUCGAGCUUGCACGUACUGCAUUCAUCAAGGGAUGGCACUGUACUGGGGUACAUCGCGAUGGACAGCAAUGGAAGUAAUGGAAGCCUAUACAGUUGCUCGUCAAUUUAACCAGAUUCCUCCUGUCAUGGAAGAGACAGAGUACCAUAUGUUUCAAAGAGAUAAAGUGGAACUCUCUCAUCCGGAACUUUUCCAUAAGAUUGGUGUCGGCACUAUGACUUGGUCUCCUCAGGCUUUUGGGUUGAGUGGAAGAUUUGAUGAAGGGAUUCAUCUAAUUUCGCGAGGAUCUAUUAGGAACUAUUCAGGGACCUCUGACAAAACUGCAUCAGACGAGAAUCGCAGUCCUCGACAUCAGGCUAAAAUUCAUCAACUAUCCUUCCUGGUGGAAAAAUUAGGCUGUACAUUAACACAGUUAUACAUAGCGUGGUGCCUUAAGACUGACUGUGUCCACUGUGUUCUUGUCGGAGCCUCCUCUGUGGGGCAACUAUUUGACCAUCUUCAUGCCUUGCAGGUGUUGCCUCGACUGAACACAAAUGUUGUGAACGAAAUUGAAAGGAUCCUUAGCAAUAAGCCAAUUCGACCGCCAGUAACCAGGUGACUAGGGUUGCCUAGGGAUCCUUGCGGAGGUAAGGGUCUCAGGCAAGACUUGUUGGAGGAGGACAUUCCUGGCGGAGGAGCAGGAGAAAGGGAAAGGAGUAAUUCGGUCGAAGAUCCACAACUCCAUCGUCUGGGGGGUCAUGGGCUGUUAGACGGACUUCUUAAUGCUUGCUCCAUCCAGUAGUUCAGAAGACAUCUUUUCAUCAUGAAUAACGUGUUAACAACAGUGUGGAGGACACUGUCCAGA
RNAcentral lists this unclassified non-coding RNA (1819 nucleotides) under Limulus polyphemus (Atlantic horseshoe crab). RNAcentral describes it as "voltage-gated potassium channel subunit beta-2-like, transcript variant X5". The record is from RNAcentral. Lineage: Eukaryota; Metazoa; Arthropoda; Merostomata; Xiphosura; Limulidae.